GACGAACGCUGGCGGCGUGCUUAACACAUGCAAGUCGAACGAGGCCCUGCCUUCGGGCAGGUGACCUAGUGGCGAACGGGUGAGUAACACGUGGGCAACCUACCCUCAGCUCUGGGAUAACCCCGGGAAACCGGAGCUAAUACCGGAUAUGACCUGGAACGACAUCGCUCCAGGUGGAAAGUUUUUCGGUCUGAGGAUGGGCCCGCGGCCUAUCAGCUUGUUGGUGGGGUAAUGGCCUACCAAGGCGACGACGGGUAGCCGGCCUGAGAGGGCGACCGGCCACACUGGGACUGAGACACGGCCCAGACUCCUACGGGAGGCAGCAGUGGGGAAGUAUUGCGCAAUGGGCGAAAGCCUGACGCAGCGACGCCGCGUGAGGGAUGAAGGCCUUCGGUU
Molecule: ribosomal RNA, 396 nt
Filed under: uncultured bacterium
Lineage: Bacteria
Description: bacterial SSU rRNA
Rfam family: Bacterial small subunit ribosomal RNA
Source: RNAcentral